This 490-nucleotide ribosomal RNA is filed under the name uncultured bacterium. RNAcentral's name for it is "bacterial SSU rRNA". It matches the Rfam family "Bacterial small subunit ribosomal RNA", at positions 25 to 518 of the family's 1533-position model. The record is from RNAcentral.
CAGGAUGAACGCUGGCGGCGUGCUUAACACAUGCAAGUCGAACGAAGCAGUUAUACGAUCCCUCGGGGUGACGAUUACUGACUGAGUGGCGGACGGGUGAGUAACGCGUGGGUAACCUGCCUGUACAGGGGGACAACAGUUGGAAACGACUGCUAAUACCGCAUAAGCGCACAGCUUCGCAUGAAGCAGUGUGAAAAGUUAUUUCGGUACAAGAUGGACCCGCGUCUGAUUAGCUAGUUGGUGAGGUAACGGCCCACCAAGGCGACGAUCAGUAGCCGACCUGAGAGGGUGACCGGCCACAUUGGGACUGAGACACGGCCCAAACUCCUACGGGAGGCAGCAGUGGGGAAUAUUGCACAAUGGGCGCAAGCCUGAUGCAGCCGACGCCGCGUGAGCGAAGAAGUAUUUCGGUAUGUAAAGCUCUAUCAGCAGGGAAGAUAAUGACGGUACCUGACUAAGAAGCACCGGCUAAAUACGUGCCAGCAGCGGC